GAUGAACGCUGGCGGCGUGCCUAAUACAUGCAAGUCGAGCGAACAGACGAGGAGCUUGCUCCUCUGACGUUAGCGGCGGACGGGUGAGUAACACGUGGAUAACCUACCUAUAAGACUGGGAUAACUUCGGGAAACCGGAGCUAAUACCGGAUAAUAUAUUGAACCGCAUGGUUCAAUAGUGAAAGACGGUUUUGCUGUCACUUAUAGAUGGAUCCGCGCCGCAUUAGCUAGUUGGUAAGGUAACGGCUUACCAAGGCAACGAUGCGUAGCCGACCUGAGAGGGUGAUCGGCCACACUGGAACUGAGACACGGUCCAGACUCCUACGGGAGGCAGCAGUAGGGAAUCUUCCGCAAUGGGCGAAAGCCUGACGGAGGAACGCCGCGUGAGUGAUGAAGGUCUUCGGAUCGUAAAACUCUGUUAUUAGGGAAGAACAAAUGUGUAAGUAACUAUGCACGUCUUGACGGUACCUAAUCAGAAAGCCACGGCUAACUAUGUG
RNAcentral lists this ribosomal RNA (497 nucleotides) under uncultured bacterium. RNAcentral's name for it is "partial 16S ribosomal RNA". It matches the Rfam family "Bacterial small subunit ribosomal RNA", at positions 28 to 507 of the family's 1533-position model. The record is from RNAcentral.